This is an unclassified non-coding RNA of Saimiri boliviensis boliviensis (Bolivian squirrel monkey), 295 nucleotides long. It matches the Rfam family "Metazoan signal recognition particle RNA". Rfam says of the family: The signal recognition particle (SRP) is a universally conserved ribonucleoprotein. It is involved in the co-translational targeting of proteins to membranes. Lineage: Eukaryota; Metazoa; Chordata; Mammalia; Primates; Cebidae. The record is from Ensembl.
GCCAGAUGUGGUAGUAAUGCCUGCCUGUAGUCCCAGGUACUCAGGAGGCUGAGGCAGGAGGAUCGCUUGAGUCCAGGAGUUCUGGGCUGUGGUAUGUUAUGCCAAUAGAGUGAUGCUAUGCCAUCAGUAUGGGGACCUCCCGGGAGUGAGGGACCACCAGAUUGCCUAGGAAAGGGUGAACUGGCCCAGGUCAGAAAGGGAGCAGUUCAAAAAUCCUGUGCUGAUCAAUGGUGAGAUCAUGCCUGUGAACAGCCAUUGAACUCCAAACUGGGUAACAUAGUGAGACCCCAUCUCU